Molecule: ribozyme, 74 nt
Filed under: unclassified sequences
Description: HDV ribozyme from F. prausnitzii
Rfam family: HDV ribozyme from F. prausnitzii
Source: RNAcentral
UCUUUUUGAUAAAUCACACACCUCUACGCGGUGAGCAGCAGGCAACGAUCUUUAUGAUUGGCUGAGAUGUGAAG